This 300-nucleotide long non-coding RNA is filed under the name Hordeum vulgare. RNAcentral's name for it is "long non-coding RNA (HVUL_LNC017567)". The record is from RNAcentral. Lineage: Eukaryota; Viridiplantae; Streptophyta; Magnoliopsida; Poales; Poaceae.
GCAGCGGGUCAUCUUCCAGCAACUCAGGUCAUCAUCAGCCGAGAACACCGUCGGACGUCGUUAGCUGCGACCUACUUCUCUCUUUUUAUUUACUCCCCAUAUUAGAGUUGAGAGGUCAAGCUUCGUAAAGUUUGAUCAAAUUUAUGAAAAAAAUACAAAUAUUUACCAUAACCAAUUCAUAUUAUGUGAAAAUACAUUCAAUAAUGAAUCCAACGAUACUGAAUUUGGUAUUGUAUAUGUUAUUAUCUUUGUUUAGGUUUAUAAAGCUUGGCUUUGAUCAAAGCUAAUAUGUGAAGUAAA